CCCUUAGAUGUUCUGGGCCGCACACGCGCUACACUGAAGGAGGCCGCGUGUACUCCUGGAUCGAAAGAUUUGGGUAACCCGCGAAUCUCCUUCGUGCUAGGGAUUGAGGUUUGCAAUUAUCCUUCAUGAACGAGGAAUUCCCAGUAAGUGCAAGUCAUAAGCUUGCGCUGACUACGUCCCUGCCCUUUGUACACACCGCCCGUCGCUACUACCGAUUGAAUGAUUUAGUGAGGACUUCGGACUGGGACCGAUGCGGCUUUCGGGCUGCGUCGGUAUUCUGGAAAGAUGUCCAAACUGUAUCAUUUAGAGGAAGUAAAAGUCGUAACA
This 327-nucleotide ribosomal RNA is filed under the name uncultured eukaryote. RNAcentral describes it as "partial 18S ribosomal RNA". It matches the Rfam family "Eukaryotic small subunit ribosomal RNA", at positions 1470 to 1796 of the family's 1831-position model. The record is from RNAcentral.